CCUACGGGAGGCAGCAGUGGGGAAUAUUGCACAAUGGGGGAAAUUCUGAUGCAGCGACGCCGCGUGAGUGAAGAAGUAUUUCGGUAUGUAAAGCUCUAUCAGCAGGGAAGAAAAUGACGGUACCUGAUUAAGAAGCCCCGGCUAACACGGUGCCAGAAGCCGCGGUAAUACGUAGGGGGCCAGCGUUAUCCGGAUUUACUGGGUGUAAAGGGGGCGUAGACGGCAGCACAAGUCAGGAGUGAAAUGCCGGGGCUUAACCCCGGAAUUGCUUUGGAAACUGUGCAGCUAGAGUGCAGGAGAGGUAAGUGGAAUUCCUAGUGUAGCGGUGAAAUGCGUAGAUAUUAGGAGGAACACCAGUGGCGAAGGCGGCUUACUGGACUGUAACUGACGUUGAGGCUCGAAAGCGUGGGGAGCAAACAGGAUUAGAUACCCGAGUAGUC
RNAcentral lists this ribosomal RNA (440 nucleotides) under uncultured bacterium. Its description in RNAcentral is "partial 16S ribosomal RNA". It matches the Rfam family "Bacterial small subunit ribosomal RNA", at positions 338 to 795 of the family's 1533-position model. The record is from RNAcentral.